UUCAAAAAUGGAUAUGGGUUUUUUUAAGGGGGGGGGAUGACAGUUUGGUUGUGGGGAAGAAUAAUAAAAAUAACAGGAGGAAGGGAGCGUUUGAGCUGAUUGCGGCUCUGUUGUAUGGGUCAGGCCGCAAAAGAUGCGGGGCUUUUUUGUUUGACCAAAGAAACCAUUUCAUGUGGUGGGAACCUUUAAGGAGAGGGACACAGCCCCCAAAAUAACACAGCAGGGAGCUGGAAAUGAGCUUUGUGGUACACCAGGGGUUGUCAAACUCCGGCAAUGUGGGCUACCUGUUAAUAGUGAAAUAGUUAAUAGUGAAUGCAUCCGAUGAAGUGAGCUGUAGCUCACGAAAGCUCAUGCUCAAAUAAAUUGGUUAGUCUCUAAGGUGCCACAAGUACUCCUUUUCUUUUUGCGAAUACAGACUAACACGGCUGAUACUCUGAAACCUGUUAAUAGUGAGGACAUCUCCCCUCUCAACACCAUCCCAUUUGCAGUCAGGCAUCAGCCCUGUGCAACUACUAUAAUAGCUUAUGUGGAAAAGUAAAAUGAGGAAAGUAUUGAGGUAGAGUUAAUAUCUUUAAUGCAAUGUAUGUUUGGUUUUUUGGUUUUUUUUUUUUUUUUAAACCGAUCACACCUCAGUUUUCACUCUACACUUCUCCCUUUCUCUCACCUCUGGUACCUGGCAUAUAAUUUUCUGUAAUCAGGUCCCUUUCUUCUCCACUCCUCUGCACCAGCUGCCCGAUUCCCUUCUGCUUUGAACAUUCCUUUCCCUAUGGAGGUUUCUGGUCCCAUUGGCAACUCCUAGUUCCACUCCUGAUGGUGGCUGGUGACUCCCCUUUCAUCUCAUCCUUCUCCUAUGUAGCAGUCUCUUCUAAUAGAGAUGGCUAGGCUGGCUCCUCCUCCUUGUUUAAGCUGCUUUUAUAGGCAUUCAGGCAAUGGGAAACGAGGAAAAGCCAGCACCCUGUGACUUUCCAACUCUCCGCAGAUUACCAGCAUGGACAUACUCCAUUUUACUUAACCAGUUUCACCAUCAUGUUCUAUAAUAAACAGUGUGAUAUAAACACUAGGGUAGGAGUGUGGGGGGUAGAAGUAAAUUUGGUUAUGAUUGAGAGAUCAAGCCUGUCUGGCUUAAAUGUAGCUUUAGCCCAUUCUUCACUGUCACUGAUGAUCCAAAUAGUUGUUAAGGAUAAAUUUGGGUGAUAUUAUGCCUGGUUUUACUGUUGGUGCACCUCCAGCAGGACACACAUCAGUCACUAAAGAAAGCCCAUUCACAGUGCUGUUCCAGCUGAUACUUAAAUGUCUGAAUGAUGUAUUUAAAAUGUUAACAUGAACAAGAUGACAGCAGUACAAGGAACAUUCUGCCGGUAGUGAUGAUGGGAUAAUUAGCAAUAACUCAGCAACCCAGAAGCAAAAAAACAACCACCCCCCGAAUUUAUUUUAUUUAAAAGGCCUGAAAAUGUUACCACUCCAUAUAUAUAGAGAGAGAGAUACAAUAAUUAAAUAUUAUUGAAGAACAUUCACUGAACCAGGAAAGAUGAGUUUGUCUGACACCUUUGGGAGUUCUCAGAUUUAAGUACCACUCUAGAUAUAUCCAAACACAGCAGCUGAAAGCACAGAAGUUAUCCAUAUUUUACAAAGAUAAACGUAUUGCAGAAAGGAAGAUGUCCAGGAGGGGGAGCAGUUGACAAAGAAUAGAGAGAAGAACAUACAUAGAAGAGAAUCCUCACCUAUGAUUAAUGAAAUAUUUAUUCUCUGCCUGUGAACCAUAUGCUCGCACAGCUUCAUCCUCAGAAAGCAGAGGAAUUCGGUAGUGCAGAUACUAAGAGGAGCUCUCUCUGUUAUUAUGACUUCCUAGAAAGUAUUUCUGGCAUAACUAAACACCUGCUGCUGUACCACCUCAUGCUGUGAUUUUGUCUGCUCUUACAAGCGCUAUCUUCCUCAAGGAUAAUGCUGCAGGAAGUGGGACUGGUGAUUCAGCAGGUGUCAGUCUUCCCUCUGAGUGAGUACUGACCCAAUGUCUCACCAUGAUGUUAGGGGACAAUGCACUGCUGGAUAUGCUGUUUUGGGUAUGAUGUACACCCAAGAUCCUGAUAGUUUGUUGUCAUUAAAGAUGACAUGGCACAUUUUUUUUACAGGAGCAGGUAUGUGAACCCCGAUGUCUUGUCUAAAUUCCAGUGCAGCUAAUUGAGAACAUAAGAACUGCCAUACUGGGUCAGACCAAAGGUCCAUAUAGCCCCGUAUCCUGUCUUCCGACGGUAGCCAAUGACGAGUGCUUCAGAGGGAAUGAACAGAUGAGGUAAUCAUCAAGUGAUCCAUCCCCUGCGCCCAUUCCCAGCUUCUGGCAAAGAGGCUAGGGACAUAAUCCCUUCCAAUAUUGACUAAUAAUUAGAUUCUGCCUGCCUAAAUUUCUCUUGCAGUUUAGAGUAAUGGCAUUAGAAUCAGACCCAUAGGUAUUUCACCCAGUGGUACACUGGUGAAUGAUAUAAGAAACUGCACCAGCCACAUGGUCACAUACAUUUCCUUUAAUCAAGGGCAUUUUGUGCUCUUAUGCCAAUGGAUUUGGACUGCAAAUAUCUGAACCAUGAGGGGAAUCAGUUGCUGGAUGCCAAAUAUCUGAACCAUGUGGGUGGGGUUUAGAGGGAUGUGUUGUUUUCCAUCGGAACUAAAUAUGGUCUCACAGCGGAAACACUACAUUGUGCCCCUAGAAGGACUGAACCUGUGAUCACAGCUGAAAUUUCUGUUGAGUUUGAAGACAUGAAAAUAUGAGUAGUAAUAAUUUUAGAGAAAAAUAUCUGAAAUCUGCCAGUCAGGUUAGAGGUGGCUAGGUGGUAGAGUGGAAAUUAUUUGAAUACCCCUUUUAAAAGAUUUUACAGCAGGUGCCCAGCAGGUGGCAUCAUCUCCUCAAACAGACUAUAAAAAAAUGGAAUGUCAAUCUGCUCUAUUUACCCAAGUGCUGCUUUGUUGGUGGUAUUUUAUGUAAUUCCCCUCGUGUUCUAAUAAACUGGUUAAUGAGAAGAGAAAAGUAAUGGCUUUGGAUCUUCAGGUUGUUAUCCAGAGAAUGAGUAGCAAAGGGUUACUGAAGCAAGCAAUACAUGAUUAAAAUACAAGUGUAAAAAAAAUCUCAGAGCGUUAGAAAUCUCUAAUUUCUUAAACUCCAUGUGUUGAUCCAAAAGAAAAUAUGUAAUCGUUUUGUAGUAGCUGGGACUGACACCUGCCAGAAGCCACAACACACAUCUGAACAGUUUCAGUAACACCCAGGAACCACAACCAAGAUUGGGACCCCCAGUGCCAGGUGUUUUAUCAACACAUGAGGUCAGGAGCCCCAUCCCAAAAAGCUAACAAUAAGAUGUCUUUGAACACUUGCAGAUGACCUCUAUCUGUUUGAGUGAACAAGUAAUCCAUCAAAGCAGUCUUGAUGCAGACUCUAUCAUAGAACUGCCCCUGUCAGCGACAGAGCAAUGAGUGCACAUGAUUGUGCUUUUCCCCAAUCCACAGGAAGUUUCGCCUUGUAGGAGCAGGAUAUUCUUUAUGGCAAAUACUUGCAGCAUGUGGCAUUGUGUAUAUAAUCUUCCUGACAACAUUGAUGCUAUUACGAUAUAGAGAUCUGAGUCCACAUUCAGCCCAAGUAAGCAGGUGUAAUGUCAGUGAAGCCAAUAGAGUCUUCCUACUCCAGGACUGAACUUGACCCAGAAUUUUUAUGUCUGCUACCUGGAUGAUGAUGUAACAAAGAACAAAAGAGGAAAUACUUGUGGGAGGAAAGGGUUUUAUAUCCCAUGUUUUUAGAGUGUUAUGAACUUUUAUAUCUGUGGAAGGAUUUUAGCCAUUUGAAAAGUCCUGUUUCUCUCUGUCCCUUUUCAGCUUGCUGAUUCCCCCCCCCCCCCCCCCCCAGGUAAUACAAUGUUCUGUGAAGCCCAGCUGCUUCAUUAUUAGUGUCAGACAUUGUGAAGUGUUGCAUAAAAUAAUUCAUUAUCUCAAGCAUCUUGCUGGUUUUAAUUCAGUACAGUUACAAAUGAUAUACAUUCACCUUAUGUUGAUAUAUACAAAUUAGUUUCCACUAGGGCUGUCAAGCGAUUAAAAAAAAUAAUCGCGCAAUUAAUCGC
Chelonia mydas (Green sea turtle) is the source of this 4094-nucleotide long non-coding RNA. RefSeq lists it as uncharacterized. NCBI's taxonomy places the organism in Eukaryota, Metazoa, Chordata, Testudines, Cheloniidae. The record is from RefSeq and is a predicted model, not a curated record. The transcript is spliced from 3 exons.